Sapajus apella (tufted capuchin) is the source of this 104-nucleotide small nucleolar RNA. RefSeq annotates it as small nucleolar RNA U13. The transcript has a single exon. NCBI's taxonomy places the organism in Eukaryota, Metazoa, Chordata, Mammalia, Primates, Cebidae. The record is from RefSeq and is a predicted model, not a curated record.
AUGCUUUUGUAGUUCACGAGCACGAUGAUUGGGUGUUCAUGCUUAUGUGUGAGAUGUGCCACCCUCGAACCUUGUUACAAGGACAGCACAUUACCCAUCUGGCA